AACGAACGCUGGCGGCAUGCCUAACACAUGCAAGUCGAACGAGACCUUCGGGUCUAGUGGCGCACGGGUGCGUAACGCGUGGGAAUCUGCCCUUGGGUCCGGAAUAACUCAGAGAAAUUUGAGCUAAUACCGGAUGAUGACGUAAGUCCAAAGAUUUAUCGCCCAGGGAUGAGCCCGCGUAGGAUUAGCUAGUUGGUGAGGUAAAGGCUCACCAAGGCGACGAUCCUUAGCGGUCUGAGAGGAUGAUCAGCCACACUGGGACUGAGACACGGCCCAGACUCCUACGGGAGGCAGCAGUGGGGAAUAUUGGACAAUGGGCGAAAGCCUGAUCCAGCAAAUGCCGCGUGAGUGAUGAAGGCCUUAGGGUUGU
This 370-nucleotide ribosomal RNA is filed under the name uncultured bacterium. RNAcentral's name for it is "bacterial SSU rRNA". It matches the Rfam family "Bacterial small subunit ribosomal RNA", at positions 29 to 426 of the family's 1533-position model. The record is from RNAcentral.